GAUGAACGCUGGCGGCGUGCCUAAUACAUGCAAGUCGAGCGAACGGGCGAGAAGCUUGCUUCUCUGAUGUUAGCGGCGGACGGGUGAGUAACACGUGGAUAACCUACCUAUAAGACUGGGAUAACUUCGGGAAACCGGAGCUAAUACCGGAUAAUAUUUUGAACCGCAUGGUUCAAAAGUGAAAGACGGUCUUGCUGUCACUUAUAGAUGGAUCCGCGCUGCAUUAGAUAGUUGGUAAGGUAACGGCUUACCAAGGCAACGAUGCAUAGACGACCUGAGAGGGUGAUCGGCCACACUGGAACUGGGCCACGGUCCAGACUCCUACGGGAGGCAGCAGUAGGGAAUCUUACGCAAUGGGCGAAAGCCUGACGGAGCAACGCCGCGUGAGUGAUGAAGGUCUUCGGAUCGUAAAACUCUGUUAUUAGGGAAGAACAUAUGUGUAAGUAACUGUGCACAUCUUGACGGUACCUAAUCAGAAAGCCACGGCUAACUACGUG
Molecule: ribosomal RNA, 497 nt
Filed under: uncultured bacterium
Lineage: Bacteria
Description: partial 16S ribosomal RNA
Rfam family: Bacterial small subunit ribosomal RNA
Source: RNAcentral